CAACAGGGAUUGCCUUAGUAACUGCGAGUGAAGCGGCAAAAGCUCAAAUUUGAAAACCGGCAACCCCAGCCGGCAGUGUAAUUUGAAGGGACAUCUUCGGAGCUGGCGCCGUCUUAAGUUCUUUGGAACCGGACAUCAUAGAGGGUGAGAAUCCCGUGCCUGGGUGGCUGUCCCGCUCCGUGUGAAGUGUCUCCGACGAGUCGAGUUGUUUGGGAAUGCAGCUCAAAAUGGGUGGUAAAUUUCAUCUAAAGCUAAAUAUUGGCGAGAGACCGAUGCGCACAAGUAGAGUGAUCGAAAGAUGAAAAGCACUUUGAAAAGAGAGUUAAAUAGUACGUGAAAUUGUUGAAAGGGAAGCGCUUGAGACUAGAUUCAGUCGGCGGUGAUCAGCUAUGCUUCUGCGUGGUGCACUUGCCGUCGAUUGAGCCAGCAUCGGUUUUGAUGGCGGGAUAAAGGUUUGAAGAAUGUUGCUCCCCGAUUCUGGGGAGUGUUAUAGCCUUGAGCGUAAUGCCGCCUGUCGGGACCGAGGACCGCGCUUCGGCUAGGAUGCUGGCGAAAAGGUCU
This 561-nucleotide ribosomal RNA is filed under the name Otidea concinna. Its description in RNAcentral is "LSU rRNA". It matches the Rfam family "Eukaryotic large subunit ribosomal RNA", at positions 66 to 640 of the family's 3401-position model. The record is from RNAcentral. Lineage: Eukaryota; Fungi; Ascomycota; Pezizomycetes; Pezizales; Pyronemataceae.